This is a small nuclear RNA of Vespula pensylvanica (western yellowjacket), 135 nucleotides long. RefSeq annotates it as U11 spliceosomal RNA. The record is from RefSeq and is a predicted model, not a curated record. Lineage: Eukaryota; Metazoa; Arthropoda; Insecta; Hymenoptera; Vespidae. The transcript has a single exon.
AAAAAGGGUGUUCGCUACUUCAAUAGCGCGAUUCCUGUCUGUUGACCGGCGGGGUAUGGCUAUCAAGACAUACCCAGCACGUAAUUUUUGUAAACGCGAGGUUGUUGGCUGCCAUGUAUAAGCACCGACACCUCC